Long non-coding RNA from Pistacia vera, 824 nucleotides. RefSeq lists it as uncharacterized. The record is from RefSeq and is a predicted model, not a curated record. The transcript is spliced from 3 exons. NCBI's taxonomy places the organism in Eukaryota, Viridiplantae, Streptophyta, Magnoliopsida, Sapindales, Anacardiaceae.
GCCACAAUCCUCAAAAAUCAUUUAUUAAAUUUGAAGUUUAAAAUUAAAUCAAAUUUUGAAGUUGGAAAAAAUUAAGAAGUGACUGGCCAUUAGAGCCACGGAGCAGCCACACAAGAAGCACGGGGAACCGCCAAGUCGGUUCAUCGGCAAGGAAGAAGAAGGGGAAGUCUGAUAAAAAUAAGCAAGAGAAUAAGCAAAACCCUAAGGUGUUUGCUUUUACUCCAUCUGUGCAAGCGAAGAGAUUGCAGUCGCAGGCUGUUGAGAAAGAGCAAUGGAGGCUUCACAUUCCAACUAUAGACCGUUCUUAUGGUGAACCACCGCCAUAUGUUGUGGUAGUCCAGGAUCGCACCAGGAUUGUUUACAUACUGAUUCUUUUGUUGGAAAGUCUUCGGUUAUCAAGUCGCUUAUAAAGCAUUAUACAAAGCAUAAUGUUCCUGAGGUCUGAGGACCGAUUACUAUUGUAUCAGGUUUAUGUUUGCUCUGACCUAAUGAAUUAUUAAAUUAAAAAAGUUAUUGGAGUUUAUGUUUUCUUUAUUUUCUUUAACUCUGAUGCGGAAUUGAUGAAAUAUGUUCGGUAAGCAAAGGUGGCUAAUGACGGUAUGAUUGAUUGUGCAAAGGUUGCUGACUUGGCACUGCUUCUCAUAGAUGGAAGUUACGGGUUUGAAAUGGUGAGAUUAUUGCUGUUUAGUUUUCACUGUUGAUUACUGCAUGAUGUUUCUUUGGGGAACCUUACUUUCUGCUUAUGUGAGCUGAGAGGAUUGAUACUUGUUGGAUUGCGACGCUUUUGGGUAAUUGAUAAAGAUAUCUUGCUCCAGAAGAAAAGA